RNAcentral lists this non-coding RNA (215 nucleotides) under Prosthecochloris sp. GSB1. RNAcentral also lists the same sequence under 1 other name. The record is from RNAcentral. Lineage: Bacteria; Pseudomonadati; Chlorobiota; Chlorobiia; Chlorobiales; Chlorobiaceae.
UUAAAUAAGUGGAGUUAUGGUGCCCACCGGCUUUCGUCGGCGGGCUUAAAAGGGAAUCCGGUGAAAAUCCGGAACAGUACCCGCUGCUGUGAUCCUCGCACGGCUUUUCGCCGUAAGUCAGCAUCUGUCAUUACACGCCACUGAACCGGGCUCCCGGAUCGGGAAGGCGGCAGAUGGAGGAGAGUCAGAAGACCUGCCGUAAUGUCGUAAGCUUC